AUGGAAAUUAUUGUUGUUUCCCAAACAAAAAACAUGGCAAAUUUGCAAUGCUGGUGCAUAUCAAACUUGCCAUCACUGCAAACAAAUUUGCCAUCAUUUUUAAUGGGUCACAUUUUUAUCUCUAACUUGCCAUCUGUUCUAGAACAAACCACAAACUGGCAGCCUACAAAAAAUGUUGGAGCGAUGUGCAAUGUUAAUACACAAAAAACACUAGGGAUUUCACAUCCUACAGCUGAUACAACAUGGACGACCUGGAGGUGUCGCAUAUGCAGGAUCAGAGAAACAAAAAUCAGAGAUUCUGACCAAAUAAAUAGGCGAGCAGCGGUCUGA
This 330-nucleotide ribosomal RNA is filed under the name Triticum aestivum (bread wheat). RNAcentral describes it as "partial small subunit ribosomal RNA". Lineage: Eukaryota; Viridiplantae; Streptophyta; Magnoliopsida; Poales; Poaceae. The record is from RNAcentral.